This 492-nucleotide ribosomal RNA is filed under the name uncultured bacterium. RNAcentral describes it as "partial 16S ribosomal RNA". It matches the Rfam family "Bacterial small subunit ribosomal RNA", at positions 28 to 507 of the family's 1533-position model. The record is from RNAcentral.
GAUGAACGCUAGCUACAGGCUUAACACAUGCAAGUCGAGGGGAAACGACAUCGCAAGCUUGCUUUUGAUGGGCGUCGACCGGCGCACGGGUGAGUAACUCGUAUCCACUCUGCUCAUCACUUGGGAAUAACCUUGCGAAACUAAGACUAAAACCCAUUGAUAUCCCACGAAGGCAUCGGUAUGGGAUUAUAGUUUUAUCGGUGAUGGAUGGGGAUGCGUCUGAUUAGCUUGUUGGCGGGGUAACGGCCCACCAAGGCAACGAUCAGUAGGCGUUCUGAGAGGAAGGUACCCCACAUUGGAACAGGGACACGGACCAAACUCCUACGGGAGGCAGCAGUGAGGAACAUUGAGCAGUGGGGGAGAGCCUGAAACAGCCAAGUAGCGUGCAAGAAGACGGCCCUAUGUGUUGUAAACUGGUUUUAUAAGGGAAUAAAGUGGGUAACGUGUGACUUUUUGACUGUACCUUAUGAAUAAGCACCGGCUAACUCCGUG